Molecule: ribosomal RNA, 490 nt
Filed under: uncultured bacterium
Lineage: Bacteria
Description: partial 16S ribosomal RNA
Rfam family: Bacterial small subunit ribosomal RNA
Source: RNAcentral
AUUGAACGCUGGCGGCAGGCCUAACACAUGCAAGUCGAACGGUAACAGGAAGAAGCUUGCUUCUUUGCUGACGAGUGGCGGACGGGUGAGUAAUGUCUGGGAAACUGCCUGAUGGAGGGGGAUAACUACUGGAAACGGUAGCUAAUACCGCAUAACGUCGCAAGACCAAAAAGGGGGACCUUCGGGCCUCUUGCCAUCGGAUGUGCCCAGAUGGGAUUAGCUAGUAGGUGGGGUAACGGCUCACCUAGGCGACGAUCCCUAGCUGGUCUGAGAGGAUGACCAGCCACACUGGAACUGAGACACGGUCCAGACUCCUACGGGAGGCAGCAGUGGGGAAUAUUGCACAAUGGGCGCAAGCCUGAUGCAGCCAUGCCGCGUGUAUGAAGAAGGCCUUCGGGUUGUAAAGUUCUUUCAGCGGGGAGGAAGGGAGUAAAGUUAAUACCUUUGCUCAUUGACGUUACCCGAAGAAGAAGCACCGGCUAACUCCGUG